This 466-nucleotide ribosomal RNA is filed under the name Vreelandella stevensii. RNAcentral describes it as "partial 16S ribosomal RNA". It matches the Rfam family "Bacterial small subunit ribosomal RNA", at positions 338 to 795 of the family's 1533-position model. Lineage: Bacteria; Pseudomonadati; Pseudomonadota; Gammaproteobacteria; Oceanospirillales; Halomonadaceae. The record is from RNAcentral.
CCUACGGGGGGCAGCAGUGGGGAAUAUUGGACAAUGGGCGAAAGCCUGAUCCAGCCAUGCCGCGUGUGUGAAGAAGGCCUUCGGGUUGUAAAGCACUUUCAGUGGGGAAGAAAGCCUUGGGGCUAAUACCCUCGAGGAAGGACAUCACCCACAGAAGAAGCACCGGCUAACUCCGUGCCAGCAGCCGCGGUAAUACGGAGGGUGCGAGCGUUAAUCGGAAUUACUGGGCGUAAAGCGCGCGUAGGCGGUCUGAUAAGCCGGUUGUGAAAGCCCCGGGCUCAACCUGGGAACGGCAUCCGGAAAGUGUGAGGUGAGAGGCAAGGGGAGAAGGGAAGAACACACGGGGUAGCGGUGACAGGAGGAGAGAUCGGGAGGAAUAAGAGUGGCAGCGGCGGCUUAUGACACUAACACGGAAGAGGAGGGGCACAAGCUGGGGUAGCACAGAGGCGUAGAGACCCGGGACUUC